CACGUAGGGUGCGAGCGUUGUCCGGAAUUAUUGGGCGUAAAGAGCUCGUAGGCGGUGUGUCGCGUCGGCCGUGAAAACCUGCAGCUUAACUGUGGGCGUGCGGUCGAUACGGGCAUCACUGGAGUUCGGCAGGGGAGACUGGAAUUCCUGGUGUAGCGGUGAAAUGCGCAGAUAUCAGGAGGAACACCGGUGGCGAAGGCGGGUCUCUGGGCCGAUACUGACGCUGAGGAGCGAAAGCGUGGGGAGCGAUCCGG
Molecule: ribosomal RNA, 254 nt
Filed under: uncultured bacterium
Lineage: Bacteria
Description: partial 16S ribosomal RNA
Rfam family: Bacterial small subunit ribosomal RNA
Source: RNAcentral